GACUUCUGUCGCUAGCGCGAUUUUUUUCUGUAGAAAAAAAAUAAUCAGCAG
This 51-nucleotide transfer RNA is filed under the name Fusarium pseudograminearum CS5834. RNAcentral's name for it is "tRNA-Cys". Lineage: Eukaryota; Fungi; Ascomycota; Sordariomycetes; Hypocreales; Nectriaceae. The record is from RNAcentral.